GGGGGGGGACACCCUGCCUGGGCCUCAGAUUCCAGCGCUGCCACUCAGUGCAGGCCACAGUCUUUCUGUGCCCUAGACUGUCGCUAUAUUAUCAAGACCUACCUUAGAGGGUACUUGUGACUAUUUUGAGUAUUUUUGACGUAGUCUCACGGAUCCCACGUGGAGCUGGACUUCACUGUGUAGCUGUGAAAUGACCUUGAUCCUUUGCCAACACUUCCAAAAAGAAAGGAUUCAUGACCUUCGUGCUGGUCUCAAAUUUGGUACGCAACAAAAGAUAGCCUUGAACUCUAUUUCAGAGGAUCUCACAGUGUAACCCUGAACUCCAGGUGAGCCUCUCACCUCAACUCUGGGAUUGUUGGAGUACCAACAUGGCUACUCUUAACUCAAGACUGGCAAAAGCAGUGUGCAAGGGGUGUGUGCCAUAAGGACUGGUCUAAGAGACCUGAGUGAGUUGCUCUGAAGUGUUGAUCGUCACGGUAAGAGCAGCAGCUCAAGACUAGUGAACUGCCAUUUGAAAUAAAAGACGUAACUUGCCAGAGGAUGAGGUCCACCAUGACCUCCAAGUGAUUUUCAUUACCACUAAUGACCCGGAAGCUCCCCUUCCAGCCAGCACUUGGGCACAAAGGGUGGGGCUCAGUCUCCUUUCAUUGUGGUUUGUACCUGUGCCAAUGAGAGCAACCAACCUUACCAGAGGCAUCCCAGACAAAGGUCGUGUUCUUCUUUGAGACCAUAAACUUUCUCAGCUACAGCUUAUUCAGCAUCUGCUGACUUCUCCCUACUGAACUAUUAUGUAACUUUU
Long non-coding RNA from Microtus oregoni (creeping vole), 799 nucleotides. RefSeq lists it as uncharacterized. The record is from RefSeq and is a predicted model, not a curated record. Lineage: Eukaryota; Metazoa; Chordata; Mammalia; Rodentia; Cricetidae. The transcript has 3 exons.